AUCCGGCUGAUGAGUCCCGAGUAGGACGAAAAGCGCAUCCUGGAU
Molecule: non-coding RNA, 45 nt
Filed under: Schistosoma curassoni
Lineage: Eukaryota; Metazoa; Platyhelminthes; Trematoda; Strigeidida; Schistosomatidae
Source: RNAcentral